GCCAGUGGUCGGGUUUCUAAACAUGCUAGUCGAGCGGAAACGAGUUAUCUGAACCUUCGGGGAACGAUAACGGCGUAGAGCGGCGGACGGGUGAGUAAUGCCUAGGAAAUUGCCCUGAUGUGGGGGAUAACCAUUGGAAACGAUGGCUAAUACCGCAUGAUGCCUACGGGCCAAAGAGGGGGACCUUCGGGCCUCUCGCGUCAGGAUAUGCCUAGGUGGGAUUAGCUAGUUGGUGAGGUAAGGGCUCACCAAGGCGACGAUCCCUAGCUGGUCUGAGAGGAUGAUCAGCCACACUGGAACUGAGACACGGUCCAGACUCCUACGGGAGGCAGCAGUGGGGAAUAUUGCACAAUGGGCGCAAGCCUGAUGCAGCCAUGCCGCGUGUGUGAAGAAGGCCUUCGGGUUGUAAAGCACUUUCAGUCGUGAGGAAGAUGGUGUAGUUAAUAGCUGCAUUAUUUGACGUUAGCGACAGAAGAAGCACCGGCUAACUCCGUGCCAGCAGCCGCGGUAAUACGGAGGGUGCGAGCGUUAAUCGGAAUUACUGGGCGUAAAGCGCAUGCAGGUGGUUUGUUAAGUCAGAUGUGAAAGCCCGGGGCUCAACCUCGGAAUAGCAUUUGAAACUGGCAGACUAGAGUACUGUAGAGGGGGGUAGAAUUUCAGGUGUAGCGGUGAAAUGCGUAGAGAUCUGAAGGAAUACCGGUGGCGAAGGCGGCCCCCUGGACAGAUACUGACACUCAGAUGCGAAAGCGUGGGGAGCAAACAGGAUUAGAUACCCUGGUAGUCCACGCCGUAAACGAUGUCUACUUGGAGGUUGUGGCCUUGAGCCGUGGCUUUCGGAGCUAACGCGUUAAGUAGACCGCCUGGGGAGUACGGUCGCAAGAUUAAAACUCAAAUGAAUUUGACGGGGGCUCCGCAACAAGCGGUGGAGCAUGUGGUUUUAAUUUCGAUGCCAACGCGAAGAACCUUUACCCUACUCUUUGAUAUCCCAGAAGAACUUUUCCCAGGAGAUGGAUUUGUGCCUUCGGAACUUCCUGAGAACAGUGCUUGCAUGGCCUGGUCGUCAGCUCGUGAUUGUGAAUUGUUCGGAUUAAGGUUCCCGGCACCGAGCGCCAACUCUUUAUUCCUUGUUUGGCCCAGCGAAGUAAUUGUCCUGAACUCAUGCCAGACUGCCGUGUUGAUAUAACUCCGCGUAAGGA
This 1196-nucleotide ribosomal RNA is filed under the name marine bacterium 42JIA4. Its description in RNAcentral is "bacterial SSU rRNA". It matches the Rfam family "Bacterial small subunit ribosomal RNA", at positions 35 to 1174 of the family's 1533-position model. The record is from RNAcentral.